RNAcentral lists this transfer RNA (74 nucleotides) under Thermoprotei archaeon. RNAcentral describes it as "tRNA-Asn". It matches the Rfam family "tRNA". Rfam says of the family: Transfer RNA (tRNA) molecules are approximately 80 nucleotides in length. Their secondary structure includes four short double-helical elements and three loops (D, anti-codon, and T loops). The record is from RNAcentral. Lineage: Archaea; Thermoproteati; Thermoproteota; Thermoprotei.
GCCCCGGUAGCUCAGCUAGGCAGAGCACCCGGCUGUUAACCGGGUGGUCCCAGGUUCGAGACCUGGCCGGGGCG